RNAcentral lists this ribosomal RNA (301 nucleotides) under uncultured bacterium. Its description in RNAcentral is "partial 16S ribosomal RNA". It matches the Rfam family "Bacterial small subunit ribosomal RNA", at positions 509 to 807 of the family's 1533-position model. The record is from RNAcentral.
CAGCCGCCGCGGGAAUACGAAGGGGGCUAGCGUUGCUCGGAAUGACUGGGCGUAAAGGGCGCGUAGGCGGCGGCCAAAGUCAGGCGUGAAAUUCCCGGGCUCAACCUGGGGGCUGCGUUUGAUACUUGGUUGCUUGAGUGGGGAAGAGGGUCGUGGAAUUCCCAGUGUAGAGGUGAAAUUCGUAGAUAUUGGGAAGAACACCGGUGGCGAAGGCGGCGACCUGGUCCUUUACUGACGCUGAGGCGCGAAAGCGUGGGGAGCAAACAGGAUUAGAUACCCCAGUAGUCCCUGUCUCUUAUAC